RNAcentral lists this unclassified non-coding RNA (199 nucleotides) under Glomeraceae sp. Its description in RNAcentral is "partial contains 5.8S ribosomal RNA and internal transcribed spacer 2". The stretch from base 1 to 71 matches the Rfam family "5.8S ribosomal RNA", at positions 84 to 154 of the family's 154-position model. The record is from RNAcentral. Lineage: Eukaryota; Fungi; Glomeromycota; Glomeromycetes; Glomerales; Glomeraceae.
GUGAAUCAUCAAAUUUUUGAACGCAAAUUGCACUCCCUGGUAUUCCGGGGAGUAUGCCUGUUUGAGGGUCGUUAGAAUCAAAAACCCAUGCAUCGUUCUUUUUUUUAAGGGAGAUGGCGUCGGAAUUGAGCCGUCUUUCGAAUGUUUAUUCAUGUCAAAGUUGCUUGUAUUUCAACCACCCGGUACGAUUGUAGCGUUC